GACGAACGCUGGCGGCGUGCUUAACACAUGCAAGUCGAACGGAAAGGCCCUGCUUUUGUGGGGUGCUCGAGUGGCGAACGGGUGAGUAUCACGUGAGUAGCCUGCCCUUGACUUUGGGAUAACUUCAGGAAACUGGGGCUAAUACCGGAUAUGAGCUCCUGCUGCAUGGUGGGGGUUGGAAAGUUUCGGCGGUUGGGGAUGGACUCGCGGCUUAGCAGCUUGUUGGUGGGGUAGUGGCUUACCAAGGCUUGGACGGGUAGCCGGCCUGAGAGGGUGACCGGCCACAAUGGGACUGGGAUGGGGGCCAGAGUCAUACGGGAGGCAGCAGUGGGGAAUAGUGCACGAUGGGCGGAAGCCGGAUGGAGCAACGUCGCGUGCGGGAAGACGGUUUUCGGGGUGUAAACCGGUUUAGCCUGCGACGAAGCGUGAGUGACGGUAAUGGGUAAAGAAGCAACGGCUAACUACGUG
This 468-nucleotide ribosomal RNA is filed under the name uncultured bacterium. RNAcentral describes it as "partial 16S ribosomal RNA". It matches the Rfam family "Bacterial small subunit ribosomal RNA", at positions 28 to 507 of the family's 1533-position model. The record is from RNAcentral.